RNAcentral lists this transfer RNA (76 nucleotides) under Sporichthya brevicatena. RNAcentral's name for it is "tRNA-Lys". It matches the Rfam family "tRNA". From Rfam's summary of the family: Transfer RNA (tRNA) molecules are approximately 80 nucleotides in length. Their secondary structure includes four short double-helical elements and three loops (D, anti-codon, and T loops). Lineage: Bacteria; Bacillati; Actinomycetota; Actinomycetes; Sporichthyales; Sporichthyaceae. The record is from RNAcentral. RNAcentral also lists the same sequence under 6 other names.
GCGCCGCUAGCUCAACUGGCAGAGCAGCUGACUCUUAAUCAGCGGGUUGGGGGUUCAAGUCCCUCGCGGCGCACCA